This 850-nucleotide long non-coding RNA is filed under the name Olea europaea (common olive). RNAcentral's name for it is "long non-coding RNA (OEUR_LNC013960)". Lineage: Eukaryota; Viridiplantae; Streptophyta; Magnoliopsida; Lamiales; Oleaceae. The record is from RNAcentral.
CGGACCGGACCGAAAGGAUAUUUCAUGUCAAGUGUUUAUAUAGAAGAGGAGUGGACUAGUUUCUCACCCACCGUGCAAUCCUCAUCCUUCUCUCUCUAAAAUUCUUCCGUGCUGUGCGUUUUGGGUUCUGAUUCUAGCUGGUGAUAACCUAUUUUCGGAGCUGAUUUUUCCCUACUUGUUGUAAGUUAUUAUUCAUUUUUUUUUCGUUAUUUCAAUUGGUUUAGUGUUUUCCUAAGUUGCUUCUGCUUUUUGGGCUUCAUGUUUUAUGGUUUUGAACUGAUGCUGUUUUCCAUCAGAUCUGGUUCAAUUGGUUCAUUAUUUGUUUUAUUCUCAGAAAAUACAAUUUACGAAUUUUCUGAUUUCAAGGAGAGUGUUGUUUUAGUAGAAAACAUGGAGCGCCUUCACAUUUAUGUUGCCGCCAUCAAUUAUUCGCUGCGUUCUAAUUGAAGAGUUUUACAAAUGUGCUAUAACACCAAGAUGGAAAAAGUUCCACAUAUUUGAAGCGUUGAUCCGGUUUUAUUAUGUCGAUAUGAGAAUUAUAAUGUUGUUGAUAUUUAUGUUAUUCAGUGUCAAUUAUGAUGGUAAUCGACAAAACUGUAUUUUCUGGUGAUACUACAAAUAUUGAUUUUAUGGCAUAGAAGCCAAACUGAAAUAAUACCCUAGAUGGUGUUGAAUAUGCUACAUUUUAAUGAUAGAUAGAUGUGAUCAGGAUGAUGAGUUAUAGUUUUCAUAUGUGCGAUUUACACGAGUUUUAUACAUAUUGACAGUCAACGAUUAUAUAGAUCUGUCAACUUGAAGGGACAAUAUCUUUAUGUAAUGUGAUAUGGAGAUCAAACACAAUUUGAUAGGG